Molecule: ribosomal RNA, 544 nt
Filed under: uncultured Alphaproteobacteria bacterium
Lineage: Bacteria; Pseudomonadati; Pseudomonadota; Alphaproteobacteria
Description: bacterial SSU rRNA
Rfam family: Bacterial small subunit ribosomal RNA
Source: RNAcentral
UCAGUGUCGCAGCGAAAGCGAUAAACACACCGCCUGGGGAGUACGACCGCAAGGUUAAAACUCAAAUGAAUUGACGGGGACCCGCACAAGUAGUGGAGCAUGUGGUUUAAUUCGAAGAUACGCGCAGAACCUUACCAACACUUGACAUGUUCGUCGCGACUUUAAGAGAUUAAAGUUUUCGGUUCGGCCGGACGAAACACAGGUGCUGCAUGGCUGUCGUCAGCUCGUGUCGUGAGAUGUUGGGUUAAGUCCCGCAACGAGCGCAACCCUCACUUUUAGUUGCCAUCAUUAAGUUGGGCACUCUGAAAGAACUGCCAGUGAUAAGCUGGAGGAAGGUGGGGAUAACGUCAAGUCCUCAUGGCCCUUACGUGUUGGGCUACACACGUGCUACCAUGGUAUUUACAAAAGGAAGCAAAACGGCGACGUUUAGCAAAUCCUGAAAAGAUACCUCAGUUCGGAUUGCACUCUGCAACUCGAGUGCAUGAAGCUGGAAUUACUAGUAAUCGUGGAUCAGCGUGCCACGGUGAAUGCGUUCCCGGGUCUU